This is a long non-coding RNA of Chlorocebus sabaeus (green monkey), 5792 nucleotides long. RefSeq lists it as uncharacterized. The record is from RefSeq and is a predicted model, not a curated record. Lineage: Eukaryota; Metazoa; Chordata; Mammalia; Primates; Cercopithecidae.
UGUUCAGGAAGUUCAUUCAUUAAUCCCAGCACAUCUAAGUUGGGGUUUCCCCGAACCUGCUUUUAUUCUGGCAACUCCUAGUCAGUAGUUAAUAGAGAGGGUUUUUCCCACCAUUUGUGCCACAUGAGAGAUAAAUUUUCACCAGGGAAUGGGACCAGGACUGUCCAUUCCAAACACAGAUGCCUUUCCCCUUCUCUUGAGAUUCUGAUCUACUUCCACAGAAUGGCUCAAAGGGUUAGGGAGAGUUGAAAGAACUUGCACGGGGGAUAAUUUUUCUAUAUCUCUUUCACCUGGGAGAUUUUUCAUAAGCCAGCUCAGAGCCUCGCUGCUUGCCAUGCAAUACAGAAAUAACUGGGUAAGUCUCUCAUAAAUUGAAUUGAACUGACCAUGGAUUUGAAGUUACUGCCUUUCCCACUGAGUUAAAACCAAAUAGAGUUGCCUCCCUGGGCCAGACUUUGAUCAGCAACACAGUACUUUCCUCUUCCUGACUUAAAUGCAUCCAGUCCUGAGCACGGGUUUUAUUUAAUGUUCUUGUUCACUUCACUGGAAAUGCUUUAACUCUGGCACCUGCUGGCUGUGAAAGUGAUUAGGAUUUCAUGGGACCAGAGCAUUUCAUUUCUAGUAAGCCACACCACGGCCCAUAAAUUAAUACAGGAUUAUGCUUCUGCAUUUACUCUGCAGGCUUGUUUUGAACUGAAAAGAAAAGGCAAUUGAAGGAUGAAGAAAAAAGAAGAAAAUGAGGAGAUGAAAAGUGAACAGUGCUACGAAACCUGACAGUGUGCAUUAGCAUAAGCACUUUCUUAUGAGGAAACUGAAGAACUUACACCACUACACCAUUGUACUUUGUUAAUGCUCCAUGGCAACAUUUUGUUCCCAUGAGGAGCAGGAUGAAUGGAGCUUUUCUUGAACUCCUGCCAUAUGCCAGGCACUGUAUUAGGCCACGGAGAAGCAAUGGAAGUAAUGAGUCCCACAUCUGCUUCUCCUGCCAUCACGCUCUGCAUCCGUCUGUCGCUGAAAGUUUGAACUCAUAGACCCACGUGCCUACUGGAAAGUUCCACUGGGAUGUCCUGCAAUCAUCCCAGACUCAUCAGGUACAACUCGAACUCGUGAUUCUCAACAAAUGUGUUCCUUCUACUGUGUUUUCUGUCUCAGGCAAUGGCAACAGCAUCCAUCCAGCUAUUCGAGAACUUCAGCACUCCUUUACUCAAACGAAUCAAUCACGGAGUUCACUGUACCUCCAGUAUAUUCCAAAUCUAUCUAUUUCUCGCCAUCCUCGCCAGCGAUUCCUUAGGUUGGCCACCGUUUCCUCCCAUGUAGAUUAUCCCAGCAACUACCUAACUAAUUUUCUUACCCCUAGUCAUGGCUCCUCUCCGAUCCAUUCUCUAAACUCUAGCCAGAGUAAUGUCAUUAUAACCCAAAUGUAAUGCAUCUAAUUUUUUAGUUAUUACGUUGGUUCUAGGAUCCUACUAAUUCUUCAUGUAGUUUGAGAAUGUGACAUGAUGUGGACCUUGCCGACAUCGCUGUAGUGGCUACGGGGAACGUUUACUGGGCCUUGCUAAUAGACUGGGUGGGGUCACCUGCAAGACCUUUCUGUUUAGAUUCUUCUUGGCCUCUCUGUGCAGCUUUCCUUCCUUCUGGGUGUGGGGCGGGACCCUUUCUGGAAUGAGGCUCUUUACAAGGUAGAUCUGAUCAUUUUUUUAUGAUCAGUUUUUACACAGAUAGAGAGGAAGGCAAAUUAGAGCAAUAUGUUUAGGUUUUGUAACUGGCUUUGGGGAAAAGAAAUUCUGGUUUCUGAGAUACACCCUGUGGAUGGCUCUAAGUUGCUGUGACUAGCCUUGGUAGGGAAUGCAGUAAGAGAACAGGAGGGCAGGAGAAGGUCAGAGAAAACAUUUGCUGCUGAGCCUUCCAAUUGAGAGACAGGACUAACCGGAUUUCCUAGGCCGCCUAAGAAUUCCUAAGUCUAGCUGGGAAAGGUCACUGUACCCACUUUUAAACACGGGGCUUGUAACUCAGCUCACACCUGACCAAUCAGGUAGUAAAGACAGCUCACUAAAAUACCAAUUAGGAUAAAAGCAAGAGGUAAAGAAAUAGUCAAUCAUCUAUCACCUGAGAGCACAGGGAGAGAGGAUGAUCGGGAUAUACACUCAGGCAUUGGAUCCCGCGGUGGCAACCCCCUUUGGGUCCCCUCCCCUUGUAUGGGAGCUCUGUUUUCACUCUAUUAAAUCUUGUAACUGCACCCUCUUCUGGUCCGUUGUUCCGGCUCGAGCUGAGCUUUCACUUGCCAUCCACCAUUGCUGAUUGCCGCUGUCACAGAUCCAAGGCUGACUUCCACACAUCAGGUUCCAGCAGGGUGUCCGCUGUGCUCCUGAUCCAGUGAGGUGCCCAUCACGGCUCCGGAUCGGGCUAGAGGCUCCCCAUUGUUCCUGUGCGGCUAAGUGCCUGGGUUCGUCCUAAUCCUGCUGAACACAAGUCACUGAAUUCCACGGUUCUCUUGCGUGACCCACGGCUUCUAAUAGAGCUCCAACACUCACCUCAUGGCCCAAGGUUCCAUUCCUUGGAAUCCAUGAGGCCAAGAACCCCAGGUCAGAGAACAAAAAGCUUGCAGCAUCUUGGGAGCAGCCACCACCAUCUUGAGAGCUCUAAGAACAAAGACCCGCCGGUAACACAAUUUUGGUACUGUUUUCUGAGCCCCAACAUCACCAACCCCAUUUUUUCACAACUCGCCACUCCUCACACUCUACCUCCAACCACAACCCCUUCUUUGCCGGGAUGACUCCUGAAUACCCUCCACCUUCUACUUAAACAUCAUCGCAUCUUACAAGGAGCUUUUGCCGACUCCCUUAAUCCUGAUCAGGUAUCUUUCAUUAGUUCUCCAUCAGCACCUGUUCACCCCCAUCAUAACGUUCAUCACACUAACUUACUAUUGCCUGUGAUUGUCCUUUCUAGGUGCUAAGACAGAGAACUAUCUCUGUGUUAAGUGUUGUCUCCCCAGUUCUGAGUAUAAUGCAUUCACCUUUAGUGGGAAAUCCAUAGAUAUUUGCUUAUAAAAGAAGAAAGAAAAGAAACAAUGAAACUCUGGUGAAGCAAUGUUGGAACUGGUCAUAAGGGAAUUUUGCAAAACAUGUAGUAGCUAAGACUGUUGACAAGGGUGGUUCAAAGUUUAAAGGGCAGGAGAUGGCAGGCUUAUUUACUAUUCAUAUUUGUAAGCAAAUAUCAAAAAUUGCUUUCCUGAGCUUGAAGUUACGGGUAGCAUUAAUUACAUUAAACCUUCAUAACAAAAACAUAUUUAUUAGUGACAAAAAUGUGGUAUCUGUUUAUAUUGGUGUAUGACAAUUAAGUAGUACGAUGUGACAGGCUAUGAAUUAGUCUGCAAUCACUCAUGCCUCAGGUGUUUUCCACAAGUGUGAUAAUAGGUUACCAUCUUGAUGGGAGACAGGAAACUGAACCCAGCGUAGAAAAUAUUAAAUUCAAGUUUCCUUGUAAAAACCAUUUUCCUAGAUGUUAUUUCCCCUCUAAAUGCUUUAGUAUAAAAGUAGAAAAUCAAAAAUAAAGGAAUUUGAAUUUUCUAUUUUAUUUAACUUCUGGACUUUUUUGAAAAUCCGUCUUGGAAUCCAAGGACAGUCCCCUUUCCUCCGCUGGGUAGGAGGCGGCAAGCACUGGGAUGGAGCAGGGUGAGAGCCUUUCCCUGUGCCUAGCUGGUUGCCAAUCUCACCACCCCACCACAGUUUUCUGCCAUCUUGAAGAAAGGAAUUGCUUCAUACAAUGGCUGUUGGCCUAGUGGAUAUUUAGACAUUGUCUCUCCCAGGAGAGAUGAUCCUUCAGUUUUUGGAAUAUCAUGCACAACAUCUUGGUAAGGUUGGUAGAUGCUCCUAAGUCAGAGACUUCCUGGAAAGAAACAAGGAAAGAGACAGAGAGAGAAAAAGAGAGAGAGAGAUCACGUGUGAGCGGGAGGGAAACAAGCAGAAAGAGAGGGAUACCUUGUGAAAAUUGUCCUUGGCAAAAUAGCUUCAAAGAUCCACUUUCUGAUAUGACAUAAAUAAGAACAAUGCAUUUAUCAAGUCAGCUUUAAUUUUUUUGGUCUUACAAGCAGGUGAAUUUCUAAAAUCAGCAUAUGUGUUUCUGCCCAAUGCUUAGGAAUCUGCUUCAGGGCAUAAGGAAGAUGGGGUGUGUGAAUACCAGUGUGUUAAGAUUUACCUGGGUCUAUUUUGCUUUCUGAUUAACUUUGUGGCCAGGUGACAUCAUUUUCUACAAGUAUUAUGGAAAUCAUUGUCCUUUCUUGCAUUUAGAAUUACUUUUGUGAAACUUUUGGUCUGUUAGACCAAAGUACUAGUUUUACACUUUAACUCAGCUGAAUGUUUUGGGCCGUAUCCCCUUAUGCACGUAUCAUAUCCCUACACGGAGGUUGGGGCAAAGGGAUUGUCCCAUCUUUCUUUCCUACAGCUUCCAUUCAAGUUAGCUAUGAAAGCACAUUAUGCCACUGAAUACCAGAUGUGGCAGAUUCUUAUGGCUUUGUGAAUAGAUUUGCCAUUUUUGUUUGGGUUGCUGAGUCAGGAAAUUGACAUUCUACUGUUGUGCUUUUAAAAGUAUUUGCUGCGACUUCAAUUUUUUUUCUCUGACAGUUGAAGCAGAAAGGUGGAUUAGCUUUCUUGAUUCCAAUUAUCUUCCCUGUAGUAUAUUGCUGAUAUGCUCCUGUGUCAGAUAAGUUAUGUGAAGUAGAAGAAAAUGUCACCUGGUAAAUGUGACACUGUUUGAGGGAAAGCUUGAAAGGUAUUUUUUGUCAUUGAUGGGUCUCCAAGAACUUUUUAAAAAGACAGGUGGAAAUCUUUUGAAAUAUUUGAAUUGGGGUUUUUUUUCCUGCCAAAUUUGCUGAAAGAUUACCAUGCAAAUGUCAAAUUUUGUUUUUAGAAAAGAUAUAAAUUGAGAUAGUCAGAGUAGCGUUCUACUUGAUUUCAUUCCGCAUGUCAGAAAAGGAAAAUCUGAAGGAAAAACAUUUAAAAGCAGCCCAAGAUGGUUACAGGUUGGACAUAUGGUAAUGGAAACGAUGCCCGUGAACUAGAGCUGAACCUUUGUCUAUAAGGCUUAAGGCUGUCCAAUAUUUCACUGACCUGUACUGAUUAAAACCUUGCCUAGCAGAUGAUUCACAAGGGCACAGCAGAACAGGUCAUUCCUCUCUGGCCCUAAGAUGCCCACAUGUUCUUAAACCUUUUACCCUCUAUGCCUUAACCACAUAUUGGCUGUAUCUCAUGUAUAAGGUCACUGAGCAACAAACAGAAUUGUAAGAUCGUCGCCUUUGCUUCACUGCCCCCUUCUCCCAUUCCUAUGUAAGAGGAGUGUAUAAAUACUGUGCCUCGUGUAGCCCACUUGGGGACACAUUGUCGUUUUGCUCUGACUUUGUGUUUCCCAGGCUAUCUUCCUCAAACUUGGCUCAGAAUAAAGCUCACUUUAAAUUUCUUUAAGUUAUAGUGCUUGUUAUUUAACUUUUCAGUUGACACAUUUGAGAGUUAGAUUGAAAGGUGUUCUUUGUGGCACUUGAAUUUUCUUGUUUUUUUUUUUCAGAUUGUCAGACAGUAGGUCCUAUCUCAGACCAGGCUUUCACUGCUACAGAGAGAGAAAGAUCUGAGACAAUGACUGUAUCAUAACUAGUGAUGCAAUGUGUGUCUGUGUGCUUCUGUGCUUUAAGAUUUCUUUUUGUGUUUCUGAAACUGCCUUGGCAAAAAUUUUAACUGAGGAAAUUAUGACUGACAGUGAAAGAAAUCAGACCUAACUGCCUCCAUCUUGCUUCUAACCUUUAA